Cebus imitator (Panamanian white-faced capuchin) is the source of this 1858-nucleotide long non-coding RNA. RefSeq lists it as uncharacterized. Lineage: Eukaryota; Metazoa; Chordata; Mammalia; Primates; Cebidae. The record is from RefSeq and is a predicted model, not a curated record. The transcript has 6 exons.
UCAUUUGUUCCCUGAAUGUAUUGACACCUCCCGAGGGGGACUGGGUCUCCUUCUCACAGCGUCUUCACACAUAUUGACUGAAGCCUGCUAUAUGCAGAUGCGGCGUUAGAUGCUGCAGCUGAGAGUGGGCGGAAAAGCCGGGGCUUGGGUCCUCAUGGUGCUUACCUGCUGUCUGGUGGGACAGACAGAUACCAGUGAGGAAUCCAUGGAGAGAAUGCAUCAUUUCACAUUCACAUUGGAAAACAGAGGGGCACUGUCGUAUAAGAAGGUGCCUGAGGCUGGUGGGCGUGUCAGGGGAGGCUCCCCUGAGGAAGCCACGUGUCAGCUGAGAUCUGGAGUGGAAGCUGGCUAAGCCAAGGCUGGCGCAGCAUUGCAGACAGCGGGGCUGACUUGUGUGAAGGCCCUGAGCUUCUUGGUCUGUGUCCUCUGCGGAUGACCGGCACAAAGCUCUCCGCCAAAGCCUGCUUUCUCCCUCAUGGUGGAGAGGGAGCUGUGUGACUGGCCCAGUGCCGCAGCCAUCCACCCUCUGCGGAUCAGUUGUUCCUUCCUUGGCUCCCAGAGGACUCCUCCCUCCUCCCACAAACAACUCCAGAGCCCAAGACGGUAAGCUCCAUGAAAGUGGAAUUUUUGUCCAUUCGUUCACAGCUGUAUCUCUAGUGCCCUGGGGAGAGCUUCUUGUGCAUCACGGUGCACAGGCUGCAUUUGUGGAAUGAAGAAUGGAGAGCCCUGGGCUCGUCGUUCAGGGUCAGUCUCUGACUUGAUGACCAUCCUCCCGGAACUCUCCUCUCUCGGGAAGUGAAUUCUGAACAGAGACGCGCUCCCUGCAGCUGGCAGCCUGUCCGAUUACAGAGUGACAUGCACAAGACAGACACUCGGGCACGUCAGCCCUGGAAGUAGCCACCUGGCACUUCAUCCCAGCCAACCAAGGAAGCUCCUGUCCUGCCAUGUCUUUCCAUGAAAUGUCCCUUUACCUCUGGCAGCUGCCACUGCCCCAUGCUUGGGCCUUUCCCACUCCAGUGAUAAAGCCCAAGAAGACCAGCAAUGGGAUCAGCCAACCUGUCCUCUCACCGCUUGCUGAGAGUGUGGCUGUCAAAGGCAACUCCAGAGGCCAGAAAUAAAUGCCCUGCUGGGUGAUUUAAUUGGUCAGAUGAGAAGGCAAAUGCUGAGAUGCUUUUCUACCGAACCCGAACCCCGUCCUCCCCGCCACAGCCCUGGAACAACUUAGAAGCAGCAAUCAGGCUCAGUGCUCACUGAGGUACCUGCAUUACAAGUUCGCCCUUGGCAGACACGCAGCCAUCAGACUUCCCACCUGGCCUGUCCUGUGAGAAGAAAGGAAAGACAAGCAUCUUUUGGAAAAAGAAGCCUAAUACAAAGAAAGUGAUCAGAUGAAAAACAAAUGGCUGACGUAAAGAAAGAGAUUAGAAAGCUAGUGUAGUAUGGAGAGGCGAUUUUCAACAUGGGGCUUCUGAUCUGAAGAAAGAAAUGUAUCCCUAGGAGUUUUUCCAGGAUUCUCCAAGCCUCUGCCAUCACCAGCUCUGACUUUACCUUUGAGGCAAGGGACAUGGUGGGGAGCACUGAAAUUGGCAGAAUUCCACUUGGUUGAUUUAGAAGCUUGAGCUCUGAGAAGCAAGUUUGUAGACUUGGCUUUUCUGCUGAGCACUAAUGAUAUGAUAUUGUCAUUUUUGCUGGUUUAUCUUGUUUUUCUAAUGUUUAUUUUACUGAGGCUUUCUCACAUAUAGCAAAAUGCUCACAUCGAAAUUACACAGCUUGAUGAAUUUUGUAUACAGGUAUGCCCUGGCAAAUACUACGUCUUCAUAUGGGUUUUGCCUGGCUUUUGAAUUUCAUAUACAUGGAAUCA